GAUGAACGCUGGCGGCGUGCUUAACACAUGCAAGUCGAGCGAAGCACUUUACUUUGAAUUCUUCGGAAUGAAGAGUGAUUUGACUGAGCGGCGGACGGGUGAGUAACGCGUGGGCAACCUGCCUCGUACAGGGGGAUAACAGUUAGAAAUGACUGCUAAUACCGCAUAAGACCACAGUACCGCAUGGUAUGGUGGUAAAAACUCCGGUGGUAUGAGAUGGGCCCGCGUCUGAUUAGGUAGUUGGUGGGGUAACGGCCUACCAAGCCGACGAUCAGUAGCCGACCUGAGAGGGCGACCGGGCCACAUUGGGACUGAGACACGGGCCCAAACUCCUACGGGAGGCAGCAGUGGGGAAUAUUGCACAAUGGGCGAAAGCCUGAUGCAGCGACGCCGCGUGAGCGAUGAAGUAUUUCGGUAUGUAGAGCUCUAUCAGCAGGGAAG
This 441-nucleotide ribosomal RNA is filed under the name uncultured bacterium. RNAcentral's name for it is "bacterial SSU rRNA". It matches the Rfam family "Bacterial small subunit ribosomal RNA", at positions 28 to 447 of the family's 1533-position model. The record is from RNAcentral.